This is a non-coding RNA of Peromyscus maniculatus bairdii (prairie deer mouse), 2179 nucleotides long. The record is from RefSeq and is a predicted model, not a curated record. NCBI's taxonomy places the organism in Eukaryota, Metazoa, Chordata, Mammalia, Rodentia, Cricetidae.
CCCUGAUCCUGUUCCUCGGGCCCCAGGCCUCCAUGCUCCUAACAAGUGAAGACCAGGCUGGCAGUUAGGAAGACCUCUCAACUGCCUUAUGAUGAAAAGACACAAGUGGAUCCAGACCCAGAACGGCUCAUCUUUCAGUCCAAGUUUGCAGAGCCAGCAUAUGACCUGUGAGGCGCUUGUCCUGCGUCCUGGUCCCAAUUUGAUCGGCUCCCACUGCCCAGCCCAUGUCUGCCUGGAUCCCAGGUUUUUUUCAACCUUUUCGCCUGUGACCCUGGACGGCCCUGCAGAGCCUGUGACGCAGUGAGUGGUGUCUGUCCUCAGGGCUCCCCUCCCUGCUGCUAAAGCCCCAAACAGGGACUGUAUUUUCCCUGGGGCCUAAGGACAGCCGAGCCUGAGCCUGGGGAAGUGGUCGGAUCCACAGUGUUAGGGAACUUAGAGGAACAGGUCUAGGCAUCUCCAGUACCAUCUCCUUUCCCAAAGAGCAAGGGAGAGCCCAGGGCCCAGUUGGUAGCAGCUGCCAAUAGCCAGCCCCGUGGGCACUGAGUACAGGAGGUACUGGAGUGGUUAGUUUAAAGCUGAAUACCGGCUAGUGGCUGGACCCAGACACGCACAUCAGCGUGGACACGGGCCACCUAGGCAGUGAGCAAAAGUUCCAAGGCCAAGCAGCUCAAGAGGUCGGUGCAGGCACUAGGUCCACCACACUUGGGGGGGGGGGGCGGGGGGGGGCACAGGCAACAGAGGACCUGCCCCAACCCCUCAGGACAGAGGCUUACAGUGGGUGGGCCUGGGCCUUCUAGAAAGUUCUCUGAGAAUAACAGAUGUGAUGAUAGGGAGUACCAACCAAGACUUAAGGGCUGGGUAAGAUGCAGCACUAUUUGGAGCCCACCGCUGGGUACCCCAAUCCUUAGUGCAGAGUGCUCCCGGGCCAGCGGCCCUCCCUCUGGGGCGGGGCCAACCAACGCCCAGCUCCCGGGUAAGAACUCCAGGCCUCCAAGCUGUCCCCUUCCCCCCCACCCCCACCCCACCCCCGUGCUCUCUGCCCCCACUGUGAGGCCUGUUUUCUCCUGGUUCCUCCAGGGAGGAGGGAAGAUAUUCCUUAUAAGGAAGCCCUAGCUUCUGCAGGGCACUUGGGGAGGGAGUGGGACCGGACUUGUGUCCCGCGCGACCCGCCCAUUUCCCGCUCUUUUCGUGGGCGCCCAGACGGCAGACUGAGGUUUCCUUUUGUUUAAUGAAGCGUUCAAUUGCACGUGAAUCUUCAGUGAAGUCCUGAGCGCGACGUGUACUUGUGCGUGUGUGCGGGGCGUCCCAGCCCCCAGCCUGCACACUCCUCCCAUUCCUCCCCGGUCCUCCGGGCUCCAGUCUUUCCUGUAACCUUCCAGCCAAUCAGUCUUCAGGCCAGGUCCAAGUCCCAACUUGCCCAAGAGCGGAGCCUCGGCAGGGAGCCGACUCGGCGGGAGCAAAGUCAGGUGACCCGGGGGGGGGGGGGGGCUCGGAGGGUGCUCACCGCCAGCCCCAAGGCUAGGAUGUGCACCAUGACAGCAGCCAACCCGACAGCCUGGGGACCCGGGGCGUCGGCCGAGCUGCAGGGGAAGGAGGGUCUUAUGGGGCCCCCACUAAAGGAGGGAGUGCCAGGGUGAAGGAGGAUAGGAGGGGCAUUGCUAAUGCUGUUUCCCUAAACCUAGGGAGGCUCAGGGCACAGCAGGACGCGUUGCUAGAGAGACCCUUUCCUCUAGUCACCUCUUCUGGGUCCGAAACUGUCGGAAGAGCCACUGGACAACGAAGGGCCACAGGAUCAAGAAGAGCAGCGUGGGAGCCGAAAGCCCUAGGGGCCAAAGCCGAGUCCUGGGCGGCCUCUGCAGCCAAGAGGGAAGGCGUCAGAAGCCAGCCCAGGAAACCAGACAUGAUUAGACCCCAAAGUGGGACACUCUGCAUGCCCCAUGCCAGGACAAGUUUAGGCUGAGGAAUGGUGGAUGCUGAGCUGAAUGGCCUAGGUCUGGCACCUGCCUUCUUGCAAAGUCAACAACAGCAAUAAUGAUGCCGAACUAUGGACACUGUAACCCUGUACCGGACCACAGCAGCUGGAAAGGCAGUUUCACGACAACUAGGAAAAUCUGAGCUUGGACUGGCUAUCUGGUGAUACUAAAGAAUUGUAAUGAAAUAUAUUCAGAGUAGAACUUUA